UGUCAAAUCUCUUUCCUAGCUUUUGGUGGC
RNAcentral lists this non-coding RNA (30 nucleotides) under Rattus norvegicus (Norway rat). Lineage: Eukaryota; Metazoa; Chordata; Mammalia; Rodentia; Muridae. The record is from RNAcentral.